UAUUGGGCGUAAGCGUGCGCAGGCGGUUUCUUAAGUCUGAUGUGAAAUCCCUGACCUCAACGAGGAGGGGCAUUGGAUACUGGAAAACUUGAGUGCGGAAGAGGAUGAGGAAUUCCAGGUGUAGCGGUGAAAUGCGUAGAGAUCUGGAGAAUACAGAUGCGAAAGCACUAUCUGGCUGUUACUGAACUGAGGCACGAAAGCGUGGGGAGCAACAGGAUUAGAUACCCUGGUAGUCCAUGCCGUAACGAUGACUGCUAACCGUUGGGGCCUUGACCCCGUGGUGCUGCAGCUACGCGAUAAGCACUCCGCCUGGGGGGGGGGGGGUCGCAAGACUGAACUCAAAUGAAUUGGGGGGGGGCCCGCACAAGCGGGUGGAGCAUGUGGUUUAAUUCGAAGCAACGCGAAGAACCUUACCUGGUCUUGACAUCCUAAGAACUUCUGUAAAAAUAUUGUUGCCCUCCGGAACUUACAUACACGUGCUGCGUGUGUGUCGCCAGCUCUCGUGUCGAGAGAUUGUGUAUAAGCCGCGCGGAGAGCGCGCCUCUUGCUCAUAUGUGCCAGCAUAUUGCUGGGCACUCUGAGGAGACUGCCAGGACGACUGGAGGAAGGUGAGAUGACGUCAAAUCAUCAUGCCCCUUAGGACCUGGGCUACACGCGUGCUACAAUGGGCGAGACAGGGGUUGGCACCUCGGGGAGGAGCU
Molecule: ribosomal RNA, 701 nt
Filed under: Lysinibacillus sp.
Lineage: Bacteria; Bacillati; Bacillota; Bacilli; Caryophanales; Bacillaceae
Description: partial 16S ribosomal RNA
Rfam family: Bacterial small subunit ribosomal RNA
Source: RNAcentral